CUCCACCGAGAAAAAGAAGAGUGGCGAACGGGUGAGUAACACGUGGGUAACCUGCCCAUCAGAAGGGGAUAACACUUGGAAACAGGUGCUAAUACCGUAUAACAAUCGAAACCGCAGGUUUUGAUUUGAAAGGCGCUUUCGGGUGUCGCUGAUGGAUGGACCCGCGGUGCAUUAGCUAGUUGGUGAGGUAACGGCUCACCAAGGCCACGAUGCAUAGCCAACCUGAGAGGGUGAUCGGCCACAUUGGGACUGAGACACGGCCCAAACUCCUACGGGAGGCAGCAGUAGGGAAUCUUCGGCAAUGGACGAAAGUCUGACCGAGCAACGCCGCGUGAGUGAAGAAGGUUUUCGGAUCGUAAAACUCUGUUGUUAGAGAAGAACAAGGAUGAGAGUAACUGUUCAUCCCUUGACGGUAUCUAACCAGAAAGCCACGGCUAACUACGUGCCAGCAGCCGCGGUAAUACGUAGGUGGCAAGCGUUGUCCGGAUUUAUUGGGCGUAAAGCGAGCGCAGGCGGUUUCUUAAGUCUGAUGUGAAAGCCCCCGGCUCAACCGGGGAGGGUCAUUGGAAACUGGGAGACUUGAGUGCAGAAGAGGAGAGUGGAAUUCCAUGUGUAGCGGUGAAAUGCGUAGAUAUAUGGAGGAACACCAGUGGCGAAGGCGGCUCUCUGGUCUGUAACUGACGCUGAGGCUCGAAAGCGUGGGGAGCAAACAGGAUUAGAUACCCUGGUAGUCCACGCCGUAAACGAUGAGUGCUAAGUGUUGGAGGGUUUCCGCCCUUCAGUGCUGCAGCUAACGCAUUAAGCACUCCGCCUGGGGAGUACGACCGCAAGGUUGAAACUCAAAGGAAUUGACGGGGGCCCGCACAAGCGGUGGAGCAUGUGGUUUAAUUCGAAGCAACG
This 900-nucleotide ribosomal RNA is filed under the name Enterococcus faecium. RNAcentral's name for it is "bacterial SSU rRNA". It matches the Rfam family "Bacterial small subunit ribosomal RNA", at positions 76 to 961 of the family's 1533-position model. Lineage: Bacteria; Bacillati; Bacillota; Bacilli; Lactobacillales; Enterococcaceae. RNAcentral also lists the same sequence under 1 other name. The record is from RNAcentral.